Molecule: transfer RNA, 88 nt
Filed under: Devosia sp. Root436
Lineage: Bacteria; Pseudomonadati; Pseudomonadota; Alphaproteobacteria; Hyphomicrobiales; Devosiaceae
Rfam family: tRNA
About the family: Transfer RNA (tRNA) molecules are approximately 80 nucleotides in length. Their secondary structure includes four short double-helical elements and three loops (D, anti-codon, and T loops).
Source: Rfam by way of RNAcentral
GUCGGCAUAGCUCAACUGGAAAGAGCCCUCAGUUUCGACGUGUAUAUGCACGGCUGUGGUGAUGCGGGUUCGAGUCCCGCUGCCGUCU